RNAcentral lists this ribosomal RNA (429 nucleotides) under Chloroflexota bacterium. RNAcentral's name for it is "Chloroflexi bacterium partial 16S ribosomal RNA". It matches the Rfam family "Bacterial small subunit ribosomal RNA", at positions 355 to 776 of the family's 1533-position model. The record is from RNAcentral. Lineage: Bacteria; Bacillati; Chloroflexota.
UGGGGAAUAUUGCACAAUGGGCGCAAGCCUGAUGCAGCCAUGCCGCGUGUAUGAAGAAGGCCUUCGGGUUGUAAAGUACUUUCAGUCGGGAGGAAGGUGUCAAGGUUAAUAACCUUGGCAAUUGACGUUACCGACAGAAGAAGCACCGGCUAACCCCGUGCCAGCAGCCGCGGUAAUACGGAGGGUGCAAGCGUUAAUCGGAAUUACUGGGCGUAAAGCGCACGCAGGCGGUUGAUUGAGUCAGAUGUGAAAUCCCCGGGCUCAACCUGGGAACUGCAUUCGAAACUGGCAGGCUAGAGUCUUGUAGAGGGGGGUAGAAUUCCAGGUGUAGCGGUGAAAUGCGUAGAGAUCUGGAGGAAUACCGGUGGCGAAGGCGGCCCCCUGGACAAAGACUGACGCUCAGGUGCGAAAGCGUGGGGAGCAAACAGG